This 601-nucleotide small RNA is filed under the name Pongo abelii (Sumatran orangutan). RNAcentral describes it as "processed transcript". The record is from RNAcentral. Lineage: Eukaryota; Metazoa; Chordata; Mammalia; Primates; Hominidae.
CUCUUACCGUGCGACCCAGAGCUCGGAAUGGGACGUGACGGCCGGCACAGGCGCCGUGCACAGCUGCCAGGAAUCUGACGGGCUGUCCUAGAGGACCACAGUCAGAUGAGGCAGAUGGAGCUCGAAAUCAGACCUUUGUUCCUCGUACCAGACACCAACGGCUUCAUUGACCACCUGGCCAGUCUGGCGCGGCUGCUGGAGAGCAGGAAGUACAUCCUGGUGGUGCCCCUCAUCGUGAUCAAUGAGCUGGACGGCCUGGCCAAGGGGCAGGAGACAGACCACCGGGCUGGGGGCUACGCCCGUGUGGUACAAGAAAAGGCCCGCAAGUCCAUCGAGUUCCUCGAGCAGCGAUUCGAGAGUCGGGACUCUUGCCUGCGAGCCCUGACCAGCCGUGGCAAUGAACUCGAAUCCAUCGCCUUCCGCAGUGAGGACAUCACUGGCCAGCUGGGUAACAACGAUGAUCUCAUCCUCUCCUGCUGCCUCCACUACUGCAAAGACAAGGCCAAGGACUUUAUGCCUACCAGCAAAGAGGAGCCAAUCCGGCUACUGCGGGAGGUGGUGCUGUUGACAGAUGACCGGAACCUGCGUGUGAAGGCGCUCA